RNAcentral lists this transfer RNA (68 nucleotides) under Tomocerus qinae. Its description in RNAcentral is "tRNA-Trp". The record is from RNAcentral. Lineage: Eukaryota; Metazoa; Arthropoda; Collembola; Entomobryomorpha; Tomoceridae.
AAAGUUUUAAGUUAAUAAAACUGAAGACCUUCAAAGUCUUCAAUAAAAGUAAAAUCUAUUAAACUUUA